RNAcentral lists this ribosomal RNA (463 nucleotides) under uncultured bacterium. RNAcentral's name for it is "bacterial SSU rRNA". It matches the Rfam family "Bacterial small subunit ribosomal RNA", at positions 1 to 507 of the family's 1533-position model. The record is from RNAcentral.
CACAUGUGACGAGUUGAUCAUGGCUCAGAACGAACGCUGGCGGCAGGCUUAACACAUGCAAGUCGAACGGUUGUAGCAAUACAGCAGUGGCAGACGGGUGAGUAACACGUGGGAACCUUCCUAGGGGUACGGAACAACUCAGGGAAACUUGAGCUAAUACCGUAUACGUCCGUAAGGAGAAAGAUUUAUCGCCCUUAGACGGGCCCGCGUCGGAUUAGCUAGUUGGUGGGGUAACGGCCUACCAAGGCGACGAUCCGUAGCUGAUCUUAGAGGAUGAUCAGCCACACUGGGACUGAGACACGGCCCAGACUCCUACGGGAGGCAGCAGUGGGGAAUCUUGGACAAUGGGCGCAAGCCUGAUCCAGCCAUGCCGCGUGAGUGAAGAAGGUCUUCGGAUUGUAAAGCUCUUUUACCAGGGACGAUAAUGACGGUACCUGGAGAAUAAGCCCCGGCAAACUUCGUG